Molecule: long non-coding RNA, 1009 nt
Filed under: Zea mays
Lineage: Eukaryota; Viridiplantae; Streptophyta; Magnoliopsida; Poales; Poaceae
Description: long non-coding RNA (ZMAY_LNC003676)
Source: RNAcentral
GCCUUUACCGAAGUUCGGGCAAAAUCCCUAAGAACGAUCCGGAAGUCCACCACCUGUUUUUUUGACACCCAACUUAGUGCACCAAAUUCUCAUGAAAAAAAACUCAAAGACAACACCGCACCUACGCGCAAUCUCAAACCCCGCCGCGGUAACAAUUCUCCCCUCACUAACCAAACUGCAGCGGCACUGCUUAACAAUUCCAUAACUCAAAAUUUAGGACAGCAGUGAUGAUAAACAAAAACUUCAGAGACAACUACAUAAAAUUCCUCACAAGUUUUGUAUACAACUCAUGAUUGAAUUCUAACAUCUACUUACCUCUAAACGGUCCUCAAAAUAAACCCUGCAAUCUGUUUUUUUUCUGAUUUGAGCAGCGACAUACGCGGAUUCAAACAGCGAUAACUUUUAAAAUAUAAUUCCGAUUUGAGCGCAUAAGUACUUGUUGGAAAGAUAAGAAAAAGCCCUACAUGAUUCUCAUACUGAUUAACACUAAUUACUCCCGAAACAUCCCCAGAAACUGCUAACACUACUGCGGUUCAUCACUCUGAAAAAUCUGUUUUCUGGACAGCCACAUACCCGGAUUCAAACGAUGAUAACUUUUAAUUUAUAACUCCAAAUUGAGCGCAUAAAUACUCGUUGGAAAGAUAAAACAAAGUUCUACAGGAUUCCCAAAUUGAUCCCCAUUAAAUCUUCACGAAAAAAAACUAAAAACUGCUGGAACUACCGCUGUUCAUCCACCACGCAAAAUUCUGGACAGCCCCCCCUCUAUCUAAUCGCAAACGCAACAUCUAAUCAAUUGAAUCGCAGCGCAAAUGAACAAGGGAUGAACACAAAAGAAAAAUCACCUUGGGUUCUCCCCUUUUCCUUCCUCCCUUCUUCCUUCCACCAAAACGAUUGGAGAUUCACACCAAAGGACGAUGAUCCGAGCGGCACGGAGUAGCACCUAGGGAGGAGGGGAUUGGGGGGGCGGCUAGGGUUUUGGUGGCUGCAACAAUGGAGGGAGGAGGAGGUG